This 845-nucleotide ribosomal RNA is filed under the name uncultured Flavobacteriales bacterium. RNAcentral describes it as "bacterial SSU rRNA". It matches the Rfam family "Bacterial small subunit ribosomal RNA", at positions 70 to 916 of the family's 1533-position model. The record is from RNAcentral. Lineage: Bacteria; Pseudomonadati; Bacteroidota; Flavobacteriia; Flavobacteriales.
ACAGGAAAGCUUGCUUUUGCUGACGACCGGCGCACGGGUGCGUAACGCGUAUGCAACCUACCUCAUACUGGAGGAUAGCCCCUGGAAACGGGGAUUAAUACUCCAUAGUAUCACGAAUUCGCAUGUUUUUGUGAUUAAAGUUUUUCGGUAUGAGAUGGGCAUGCGUCCCAUUAGCUUGUUGGUGAGGUAACGGCUCACCAAGGCAACGAUGGGUAGGGGGCCUGAGAGGGUGGUCCACCACACUGGUACUGAGACACGGACCAGACUCCUACGGGAGGCAGCAGUGAGGAAUAUUGGUCAAUGGAGGCAACUCUGAACCAGCCAUGCCGCGUGAAGGAUGACGGCCCUAUGGGUUGUAAACUUCUUUUAUAGAGGAAGAAACUUGUCUACGUGUAGACAACUGACGGUACUCUACGAAUAAGGAUCGGCUAACUCCGUGCCAGCAGCCGCGGUAAUACGGAGGAUCCAAGCGUUAUCCGGAUUCAUUGGGUUUAAAGGGUCCGUAGGCGGGUCUUUAAGUCAGUGGUGAAAGCCGACAGCUCAACUGUCGAACUGCCAUUGAUACUGGAGACCUUGAGUACAAAUGAAGUAGGCGGAAUGAGUCAUGUAGCGGUGAAAUGCAUAGAUAUGACUCAGAACACCGAUUGCGAAGGCAGCUUACUAACAUGUAACUGACGCUGAGGGACGAAAGCGUGGGGAGCGAACAGGAUUAGAUACCCUGGUAGUCCACGCCGUAAACGAUCAUCACUCGCUGUUGGCGAUAUACUGUCAGCGGCCAAGCGAAAGUGUUAAGUGAUGCACCUGGGGAGUACGCCGGCAACGGUGAAACUCAAAUGAAUUGACGG